CAGAGUUGCAAAACUCCCAACCCUUUGUGAACGAACCUACCAGUUGCCUCGGCGGCGAGCCCCCUGGGCGGACCGCCGGCGGAAUACAAACUCUUUGCAUUACAGUAUCUCUGAUUACUUAUUCAAUAAGUUAAAACUUUCAACAACGGAUCUCUUGGUUCAGGCAUUUCGCUGCGUUCUUCAUCGAUGCCAGAACCAAGAGAUCCGUUGUUGAAAGUUUUUACUUAUUGAAUAAGUACUCAGAGAAACAAUAAUAACAUAAUA
RNAcentral lists this unclassified non-coding RNA (264 nucleotides) under soil metagenome. RNAcentral's name for it is "partial contains internal transcribed spacer 1, 5.8S ribosomal RNA, and internal transcribed spacer 2". The record is from RNAcentral.